UAAUCACACCACCAUAGAACCCACUAUUUUGUGUUGUGUGGUUACUCCCAUUGCUUCCUUUGGUGUGGUCCACUUGAGCCUUGGAACUGCCUCAUUUUUGUGUGAUUUCAUUUAAGCCACCAUUAUCUUGGAGUUACAGUGACAAAUUUAUGAAUACAGUAGCAUUAAAAAGACAAACGACCAUAUCAAUGUUGAAGUAAAAGAAACUCUGUAUAAAUGGAAUCACUUAGAACAAAAUCUCAUUGAAAUCACAGAAGAAUCUCAGAUACCAAAAUAAGAGAAAAUCCAAAAACCCAACAAAAAUCACUUCAUACAAAAAAAAAAAAAAACAAAAGAAAA
Molecule: long non-coding RNA, 339 nt
Organism: Magnolia sinica
Lineage: Eukaryota; Viridiplantae; Streptophyta; Magnoliopsida; Magnoliales; Magnoliaceae
Exons: 2
Source: RefSeq, a predicted model, not a curated record